This 1286-nucleotide ribosomal RNA is filed under the name metagenome. RNAcentral's name for it is "SSU rRNA". It matches the Rfam family "Eukaryotic small subunit ribosomal RNA", at positions 493 to 1800 of the family's 1831-position model. The record is from RNAcentral.
AAUCGAGGCCCCGUAAUUGGAAUGAGUACACUUUAAAUCCUUUAACGAGGAUCAAUUGGAGGGCAAGUCUGGUGCCAGCAGCCGCGGUAAUUCCAGCUCCAAUAGCGUAUAUUAAAGUUGUUGCAGUUAAAAAGCUCGUAGUUGGAUCUCAGGAUUUGGAUGGAUGGUUCGCUUUCGGGCGCUACUAUCUGUCUGACCUACUCUAGUCGUGGAUGCCUUGGGUGCUCUUAAUUGAGUGCUUUUGGUGCCCGACGCAAUUACUUUGAAAAAAUUAGAGUGCUCAAAGCAGGCGUAUUGCCUGAAUAGUGUUGCAUGGAAUAAUGAAAUAGGAGUUUACUUCUAUUUUGUUGGUUUUCGGAGGUGAACUAAUGAUUAACAGGGACAGACGGGGGCAUUUGUAUGGAGGGGUUAGAGGUGAAAUUCUUGGAUCCUCUCCAGACAAACUACUGCGAAAGCAUUUGCCAGGAAUGUUUUCACUAAUCAAGAACGAAAGUCAGAGGUUCGAAGACGAUCAGAUACCGUCCUAGUUCUGACCAUAAAUGAUGCCAUCUAACAAUCCACGAAGUUUGCUUGUACGAACUCGUGGACGGUCCCCGGGAAACCAAAGAUUUUGGGUUCCGGGGGAAGUAUGGUUGCAAAGCUGAAACUUAAAGGAAUUGACGGAAGGGCACCACCAGGAGUGGAGCCUGCGGCUUAAUUUGACUUAACACGGGAAACCUCACCCGGCCCGGACACUUUUAGGAUUGACAGAUUGAAGGCUCUUUCUUGAUCAAGUGGUUGGUGGUGCAUGGCCGUUCUUAGUUGGUGGAGCGAUUUGUCUGGUUAAUUCCGAUAACGAACGAGACUCUACUCUGCUAAAUAGAACGUUGAUAUAUAAAAGUCAGUGCUGACUUCUUAGAGAGACUAACGGCGUUUAGCCGUGUGAGAAAGAGCAAUAACAGGUCUGUGAUGCCCUUAGAUGUCCGGGGCCGCACGCGCGCUACACUGACUGCAGCAACUAGUAUGCUCCUGGUUUGAAAAAACUGGGUAACCUGGUUGAAUUGCAGGCGUGACAGGGAUCAGAGUUUGCAAUUAUCCUCUGUGAACGAGGAAUUCCCAGUAAGCGCAAGUCAUUAGCUUGUGCUGAUUACGUCCCUGCCCUUUGUACACACCGCCCGUCGCUACUACCGAUUGAAUGGUUUAGUGAGGUCUUCGGAUUGGUGCUGAUGGAGUGGUUCUCUGCUCUGUUAGUGCCGAGAAGAUGAUCAAACUUGAUCAUUUAGAGGAAGUAAAAGUCGUAACAAGGU